UCAGCAUGUGCUGUGUAUAUCAUCUGACGGAAGGACACUCUUGGAGUCAUCAAAAAUUGCUCUUGACAAAGGAAAACUAGAUGAUGCUGUGAAUUAUGGAACAAAGGCAUUGGUCAAGAUGAUUGCUGUCUGUGGGCCUUAUCAUAGAAAUACUGCUUGUGCGUACAGCCUUCUCGCAGUUGUACUGUACCACACUGGCGAUUUUAACCAGGCAACGAUAUAUCAGCAGAAGGCUCUAGAUAUAAAUGAGAGAGAACUUGGUCUCGACCAUCCUGACACUAUGAAAAGCUAUGGGGAUCUUUCUGUAUUUUAUUAUCGUCUUCA
Molecule: non-coding RNA, 324 nt
Organism: Camelina sativa (false flax)
Lineage: Eukaryota; Viridiplantae; Streptophyta; Magnoliopsida; Brassicales; Brassicaceae
Source: RefSeq, a predicted model, not a curated record